Micropterus dolomieu (smallmouth bass) is the source of this 944-nucleotide long non-coding RNA. RefSeq lists it as uncharacterized. The record is from RefSeq and is a predicted model, not a curated record. Lineage: Eukaryota; Metazoa; Chordata; Actinopteri; Centrarchiformes; Centrarchidae. The transcript has 3 exons.
AGAUCUGCCGAAUGUUCCUGGUACCCCUGUGGUGACUGAGAGAACCGCAACAAGCGUUACACUCACCUGGGAUUCUGGCAACCCUGAGCCUGUUUCCUACUAUAUCUUACAGCACCGUGCCAAAGGGUCAGAGGACCCCUACAAAGAGAUUGAUGGCAUCACCACAACACUCUACAGCGUGGGCGGCCUCAGCCCAAACUCCCACUAUGACUUUCGGGUAGCAGCCGUUAACACCAUUGGCCAGGGCCCCUCCAGUGAGGUGCUGGAGGUUCGCACAGCCCUCCUUGCCCCCUCAACAGGCCAGAGUUUCAUUAAACAAAAUGAAAUGAAAUAAUAUGAGGAGAUACAGAAGCAGAGCAACUCUGACAAAUGUGUACCCAAAACCAGCUACUCUGUGAUCAGCAAUCUUCACCUUUACCUGUCUGAUACUUUUGUAUAUGCAUUUGAUUGUGCCUCUAAUAACAGCAUAACGUAAUGCCAAAGGUUUUUACUUGUUUGUCUUGUUGUUGUUAUUGUUGUGUUUGGACCAUUGCAAUUUGCAAUAUCCUCAGAACUAAUAUGCAAUCUGUGAAGUAUUUCACUCCAGUUUUAGAGCAUUUAAAAUCACAGAAUUUGUUCUCUUGUAAGUGUCAAUUGUUUAUUAUGAGAAAUGUUUUGGCUCUCAAGGAGCUUAUGACAUCCUUGCAUUUCUUGAACAUCACUGUUUGUCAGUCAGCGAUAGGGCUGGAAUUAAAUGAUUAUGUUCAUAGUUGAUUAAUCUGUUGAUUAUUUUCUUAAUUAACCAAUUAGUUGUCUGAAAAAUUCAACGUGUGGUAUUCUGUCCGGCUGAAGUCACAUUUCCUUCCUGAGUAAAAGAUAAAGAUGUGUGUGGUGAUGUAACAUGAUGAUUUAAACCCAGUGGCAUAUCAGAUCAAUUGAGUCAAAAUAAAAUGCACUGAAGUGUU